Molecule: ribosomal RNA, 361 nt
Filed under: uncultured eukaryote
Lineage: Eukaryota
Description: partial 18S ribosomal RNA
Rfam family: Eukaryotic small subunit ribosomal RNA
Source: RNAcentral
CAAUAGCAUAUAUUAACGUUGUUGCAGUUGAAAAGCUCGUAGUUGAACUUUUGGUAGGAGCGACCUGGCCUUGGGCGCAUGCCCUUGUUUGCCGUGUGUCGUAUCUGGCCAUCCUUUUCUUCUUUUUGGAAGGAAUCUUUUACUGUGAGUAAACUGGAGUGCUCAAAACAAGACGUUUGUUUGGUACAUUAAAGCAUGGAAUAAUAAGAUAGGACCUGGUUACUAUUUUGUUGGUUUGCAUAGCUAGGUAAUGAUUAACAGGGACAGUUGGGGGUAUUCGUAUUUAAUUGUCAGAGGUGAAAUUCUUGGAUUUAUGAAAGACGAACGACUGCGAAAGCAUUUACCAAGGAUGUUUUCAUUA